RNAcentral lists this ribosomal RNA (253 nucleotides) under uncultured bacterium. Its description in RNAcentral is "partial 16S ribosomal RNA". It matches the Rfam family "Bacterial small subunit ribosomal RNA", at positions 524 to 776 of the family's 1533-position model. The record is from RNAcentral.
CACGUAGGGUGCGAGCGUUGUCCGGAAUUAUUGGGCGUAAAGAGCUCGUAGGCGGUGUGUCGCGUCGGCCGUGAAAACCUGCAGCUUAACUGUGGGCUUGCAGCUGAUACGGGCGGGCUAGAGUUCGGUAGGGGAGACUGGAAUUCCUGGUGUAGCGGUGAAAUGCGCAGAUAUCAGGAGGAACACCGGUGGCGAAGGCGGGUCUCUGGGCCGAUACUGACGCUGAGGAGCGAAAGCGUGGGGAGCGAACAGG